AGCACGUUAUGGUGGGCGACUCUAAGGAGACUGCCGGUGACAAACCGAGGAAGGUGGGGAGUGACGUCAAGUCAUCAUGGCCCUUACGGCCUGGGCUACACACGUGCUACAAUGGUCGGUACAAAGGGUUGCCAAGCCGCGAGGUGGAGCUAAUCCCAUAAAACCGAUCGUAGUCCGGAUCGCAGUCUGCAACUCGACUGCGUGAAGUCGGAAUCGCUAGUAAUCAUGAAUCAGAAUGUCACGGUGAAUACGUUCCCGGGCCUU
Molecule: ribosomal RNA, 264 nt
Filed under: uncultured Pseudomonas sp.
Lineage: Bacteria; Pseudomonadati; Pseudomonadota; Gammaproteobacteria; Pseudomonadales; Pseudomonadaceae
Description: partial 16S ribosomal RNA
Rfam family: Bacterial small subunit ribosomal RNA
Source: RNAcentral